UACGUAGGUGUCAAGCGUUGUCCGGAUUUAUUGGGCGUAAAGCGCCCGCAGGCGGCUUGCCAAGUUCGAUGUGAAAUCUCCCGGCUCAACUGGGAGGGUGCAUCGAAAACUGGCAGGCUUGAGGCAGGGAGAGGGAUGUGGAAUUCCAGGUGUAGUGGUGAAAUGCGUAGAUAUCAGGAGGAACACCGGUGGCGAAGGCGGCGAUCUGGGAAGAUACUGACGCUGAGGUGCGAAAGCGUGGGGAGCAAACAGG
This 253-nucleotide ribosomal RNA is filed under the name uncultured bacterium. RNAcentral's name for it is "partial 16S ribosomal RNA". It matches the Rfam family "Bacterial small subunit ribosomal RNA", at positions 524 to 776 of the family's 1533-position model. The record is from RNAcentral.